This 1496-nucleotide long non-coding RNA is filed under the name Homo sapiens (human). RNAcentral's name for it is "HSALNT0377210". The record is from RNAcentral. Lineage: Eukaryota; Metazoa; Chordata; Mammalia; Primates; Hominidae.
GCGGCGGGAAGAACGCCCACGUCACCUCCCGGUGUUGUUACACCCACAAUCACCACACUCUGACCCCCGCAAAGACCACAGAGGAGUAGGAAGAGGGCUGCCCUCGUACUCCCCAAGCCACCCCCGCCUCUGAGCGCGGAGGCACGAUGUUCUGGGGCUCGAGCCUUCGCAUCCACCGGGCCAGCGCUAACCACCGGCCGCCGCCCUGGAGGGGACCCGGCGGCCCCGCCACGUGCGGCUGCGAGUUUCAGACCCGCUUCCGGGGGGCGGCGGCCGUCGGAGGCCUGGGUUGGGGGGUCGUGAGCCGGAUGUUCCCCGCAGCUGGCCAGAAAGCUGCCUCUGAGCCUCUUGAGCAACUCCCUGCCUCCUCCGGUAGUCUCUCUGGACUCUCCAAGUGACUUGCUGGGGGCACCGGGCGCGGGGAGGGCAGGCCCCCGGGGUGACGCAGAACACUAUGCGUUUGUUACAACGAUUAAAUGAAGAACACAGAAGUCUCUGGCUCUGCCGGGCAGAACGCCUCUUAAGAGUAUCGCAGCUAAAAAGUGGGUUGGCUGUAAGCUGAUAAUCAGGUAGCUGUGGUCAGACACCCACUCCAGAACCUCUGCUACUCAGAGACCAUGUUAUCACACGCGACGUCCAUUAGGCCCCAGUAAUCCGCUAUCAACGCAUUUUAGAGCCAUUUGAAUGUUAAGGAGAUUUUUAUUAAUGGUCCAUGAUCCUAAAAUGUGACUAUUGGUUCUAGGAACAGAUUUUAACAACUCAAGGCUGUGAUGAGUGAUUUUCUGAUUUCUGUGCAGCCUAAGGCCUCAGGAGAUUUCAUCUGGGAGAUUGGGGGCAAGACCUAAGCCCUCACCCCACCAAGGACCUGUCUCUAAAGGGUACUUUCCAGCUUUUACCUGGGGAAACUGAGAUAGAGGGGGAGCAGGCCUGUGGCUCCUAAAGGCAGCAUUUGAAGGUCCUUUAAUGGGGAGACCAGGGGGACAAAAAAAGCAAUCAACAAUUGUAUGGCUACUAGAAACUGGCAUCUUAUUUUUAAAGAAGCCCUCAGCUGGAAAUGUCACCUAGUGAUGUCAAGUAGACUAAGAAAUUCUUAAUCAAAAGGCCCCCUUUGCACACCUGCAGUAGGCAAACUGAGGCAGGAGCAGUAGAGGUAGCAGGUAGCAGAGGAUUCUGAUUCUUGAAUACCUUUUUUUCCUUGUGGUGCUGAAACAGAAGUCAAUCCAAACUUUGCCCACUUACCAUUAUAUUUUCAGUGGGAUUCUUUUUUGUUUUCUUUGUUGUUGCUGUUGUUUUUUCUUUCAAAAUACCGUGUUUCCACUAAGAAUUAAAAGAAAAGGGGUGGGGAGAUUAAGGAAUAAAAGUGAGUCAUAGACCUCAUGCUGUUUGACUUUCCCUCUAGGAGAAAAACAAAAUUUGAAGCGACCCUCCCCCUAGUGAUAGCCUGGCUUCCCUGGCACCUGCAGUUAUCUUUGACCAAAUGGGUUGGACUUGGUAGG